CUACGUGCCAGCAGCCGCGGUAAUACGUAGGUCCCGAGCGUUGUCCGGAUUUAUUGGGCGUAAAGCGAGCGCAGGCGGUUAGAUAAGUCUGAAGUUAAAGGCUGUGGCUUAACCAUAGUACGCUUUGGAAACUGUUUAACUUGAGUGCAAGAGGGGAGAGUGGAAUUCCAUGUGUAGCGGUGAAAUGCGUAGAUAUAUGGAGGAACACCGGUGGCGAAAGCGGCUCUCUGGUCUGUAACUGACGCUGAGGCUCGAAAGCGUGGGGAGCGAACAGGAUUAGAUACCCUGGUAGUCCACGCCGUAAACGAUGAGUGCUAGGUGUUAGACCCUUUCCGGGGUUUAGUGCCGUAGCUAACGCAUUAAGCACUCCGCCUGGGGAGUACGACCGCAAGGUUGAAACUCAAAGGAAUUGACGGGGGCCCGCACAAGCGGUGGAGCAUGUGGUUUAAUUCGAAGCAACGCGAAGAACCUUACCAGGUCUUGACAUCCCUCUGACCGCUCUAGAGAUAGAGCUUUC
RNAcentral lists this ribosomal RNA (517 nucleotides) under uncultured bacterium. Its description in RNAcentral is "bacterial SSU rRNA". It matches the Rfam family "Bacterial small subunit ribosomal RNA", at positions 501 to 1016 of the family's 1533-position model. The record is from RNAcentral.